AAUGUGAGUUCCAAAUGCAAGCCACAUUUGCAAUUUUAAACUUUCUAGUAGUCACACUUUAAAAAGUAAAAAGAAACAGGUAAAAUUAAUUUUAAUAAUAUAUUUUAUUUAAAUCACUAUAUCCAAAAUAUUAUCAUUUCAACCUGCAAGCAAUAUCAAAGAUUAUUGAGUUAUUCCACAUUUUUUUUUUCAUGCUAAGUCUUGGAAAGCCAGUGUACAUUUUACAUUCAAUUCAGAAGGCUCCCUUCUUCAUACUUGGUGGCCACAUUGGCUCAUGGCUGCUAUUUAUUCUAGUGGCACAGAUAGAUAAUAAGCAAGUGAAAAAUAAUAUGAAGUACUAUGAAUAAAAUACAACUAAGAAAUGUGACAGUAGUGGCUGUACGUGUACAAUAUUAGACAGGAUUGUCAGGGAAGGCCUCGCUGAGGAGAUGGCAUUUGGACUGAGUCCCAACAGAGGAGAAGUCAUGCAAUGACCCAUGUGAAGAGCUCUCAAGGCAAGAGAGAAGCUAGCACACAGGGCCUGGCUAGGAAGGGACAGGAAGAACAGAGCAUGGCUACAGCAGAGUGAGCUGUGGUGAAGAUGGCAGGAAAUGAGGUCAGAAAGACAGGCAGACACUUCUUAGGCCUGGGUAAAAAGUCUGGAAUGAAAUGAGGUUUCCUACAGGGAAGCAGUAUAAGUUGAUUAUAAAUGGAGAGUUUCCAACAAGAAAGUAGCAUUAUUUGAUAAGAAAAGGAAGUAGAUAAUAGAGAUCCUUGAAUUGAAGCUGACGGAAUAUAGUCAAUUUCUGGGAGAUGCUAUAGAUUUCAGUGGGCAGAACAAGAAUGAAAAUGGUGAAUGAGUCUCUUCUGUUUACUGAGUGCAGAAUGGGUUGGGGUCAGGAGCUCUGGGUGAACCCUGGUGUAGAUGCCCAGGUAUAAGGGAGGAUUAUAAUUCAGUCAGGAGUGGUGGAAAUGAAGAGGAGGAAGUAUCAUAAACACUAAACAGAAUGAAUGGAUAUAAGUUGGAACAAAUGAAAUAAAAAAACUGUUGAGAGAAACAUGCACGUUUCAGUGCUGGGAGGCCAUUUUAGGAAGUGGCCUUAAUGACUAAGAUGAGAGAGAACUAUCAAGAUGUAAACUUUUAGGGAAUCACAAGACAUGUAUUACAAGCAAUUAGAAAUAUAAAAUUAGAGGCCUUGGGGGUGACAGGUCAAGGCAGCAGAGAGGUUUGGAACUACUCUUUGUAUCAAUAAAAAUGGAAGCUAACAAGAGGUUUAACUCCCAGAAGGUAAUGGAAAGGAAGAGAAAGAAGUAAAAAAAAGAAAAAAAUCCUAAAUAUAUCCACAGCAAGGGUGAGAGUUCAGUGUCGCUAGGUGUUUAUUCUGUUUUAUUUUUUAAAUUGGUCUGUUCAGUCAAGGAAAAAAGAACAAAGCCCCUUUG
This 1419-nucleotide long non-coding RNA is filed under the name Homo sapiens (human). RNAcentral describes it as "HSALNT0062791". The record is from RNAcentral. Lineage: Eukaryota; Metazoa; Chordata; Mammalia; Primates; Hominidae.